CCCUUAGAUGUCCUGGGCUGCACGCGCGCUACACUGAUGCGUCCAAUAAGCACCUAACCUAAUCCGAAGGGACCGGGUAACCUUAGCAAAGCACAUCGUGAUGGGGAUAGAUUAUUGCAAUUAUUAGUCUUGAACGAGGAAUUCCUAGUAAGCACAAGUCAUCAGCUUGUGUUGAUUACGUCCCUGCCCUUUGUACACACCGCCCGUCGCUCCUACCGAUUGAAUGUUCCGGUGAGCUCUUCGGACUGCGCGGUCUGCAGUUUCUGCGUUCCGUGCGGAAAGUUGUGCAAACCUUAACAUUUAGAGGAAGGAGAAGUCGUAACA
Molecule: ribosomal RNA, 324 nt
Filed under: uncultured eukaryote
Lineage: Eukaryota
Description: partial 18S ribosomal RNA
Rfam family: Eukaryotic small subunit ribosomal RNA
Source: RNAcentral